This 598-nucleotide ribosomal RNA is filed under the name uncultured Gammaproteobacteria bacterium. RNAcentral's name for it is "partial 16S ribosomal RNA". Lineage: Bacteria; Pseudomonadati; Pseudomonadota; Gammaproteobacteria. The record is from RNAcentral.
GGGAGCUCUCCCAUAUGGUCGACCUGCAGGCGGCCGCGAAUUCACUAGUGAUUCGUAUUACCGCGGCUGCUGGCACAGAGUUAGCCGGUGCUUAUUCUGUCGGUAACGUCAAAACAGCAAAGUAUUAAUUUACUGCCCUUCCUCCCAACUUAAAGUGCUUUACAAUCCGAAGACCUUCUUCACACACGCGGCAUGGCUGGAUCAGGCUUUCGCCCAUUGUCCAAUAUUCCCCACUGCUGCCUCCCGUAGGAGUCUGGACCGUGUCUCAGUUCCAGUGUGACUGAUCAUCCUCUCAGACCAGUUACGGAUCGUCGCCUUGGUGAGCCAUUACCCCACCAACUAGCUAAUCCGACCUAGGCUCAUCUGAUAGCGCAAGGCCCGAAGGUCCCCUGCUUUCUCCCGUAGGACGUAUGCGGUAUUAGCGUCCGUUUCCGAACGUUAUCCCCCACUACCAGGCAGAUUCCUAGGCAUUACUCACCCGUCCGCCGCUCUCAAGAGAAGCAAGCUUCUCUCUACCGCUCGACUUGCAUGUGUUAGGCCUGCCGCCAGCGUUCAAUCUGAGCCAUGAUCAAACUCUAAUCGAAUUCCCGCGGCCGCC